RNAcentral lists this long non-coding RNA (297 nucleotides) under Mytilus galloprovincialis (Mediterranean mussel). The record is from RNAcentral. Lineage: Eukaryota; Metazoa; Mollusca; Bivalvia; Mytilida; Mytilidae.
GCAUUAAAUAUAAGAGGAGAACAACGACAUAACACUAAAAUGUAACACACAUAGACAAAAUUCCACGAAUAACAAAUAUAACAUAUAUAUAUAACAUCAAAACCAAAUACAUGAAUUUGGGAUAGACAAGUACCGUGACACGUCUUAUCGCAAUGUGAAUUUACACUCAAAAAUAAGAGAAAACAAACAACACAACGUUAUAAUGUAAUACACACAGAAACGAACUAUAAUAUAACAAUGGCCAUAUUCCUGACUUGGUACAGGGCAUUUUUAAAGGAAAAAAUGGUGGGUUGAACC